This 492-nucleotide ribosomal RNA is filed under the name uncultured bacterium. RNAcentral's name for it is "partial 16S ribosomal RNA". It matches the Rfam family "Bacterial small subunit ribosomal RNA", at positions 29 to 507 of the family's 1533-position model. The record is from RNAcentral.
AGUGAACGCUGGCGGUAGGCCUAACACAUGCAAGUCGAACGGCAGCACAGUAAGAGCUUGCUCUUACGGGUGGCGAGUGGCGGACGGGUGAGGAAUACAUCGGAAUCUACUUUUUCGUGGGGGAUAACGUAGGGAAACUUACGCUAAUACCGCAUACGACCUACGGGUGAAAGCAGGGGAUCUUCGGACCUUGCGCGAUUGAAUGAGCCGAUGUCGGAUUAGCUAGUUGGCGGGGUAAAGGCCCACCAAGGCGACGAUCCGUAGCUGGUCUGAGAGGAUGAUCAGCCACACUGGAACUGAGGCACGGUCCAGACUCCUACGGGAGGUAGCAGUGGGGAAUAUUGGACAAUGGGCGCAAGCCUGAUCCAGCCAUACCGCGUGGGUGAAGAAGGCCUUCGGGUUGUAAAGCCCUUUUGUUGGGAAAGAAAAGCAGCAGGUUAAUACCCCGCUGUUCUGACGGUACCCAAAGAAUAAGCACCGGCUAACUUCGUG